RNAcentral lists this ribosomal RNA (561 nucleotides) under Trichoderma gamsii. Its description in RNAcentral is "eukaryotic LSU rRNA". The stretch from base 181 to 334 matches the Rfam family "5.8S ribosomal RNA". The record is from RNAcentral. Lineage: Eukaryota; Fungi; Ascomycota; Sordariomycetes; Hypocreales; Hypocreaceae.
GGGCCGGGGUUACUCCAACCCAUGUGACCAUACCAAACUGUUGCCUCGGCGGGGUCACGCCCCGGGUGCGUCGCAGCCCCGGAACCAGGCGCCCGCCGGAGGGACCAACCAAACUCUUUCUGUAGUCCCCUCGCGGACGUUAUUUCUUACAGCUCUGAGCAAAAAUUCAAAAUGAAUCAAAACUUUCAACAACGGAUCUCUUGGUUCUGGCAUCGAUGAAGAACGCAGCGAAAUGCGAUAAGUAAUGUGAAUUGCAGAAUUCAGUGAAUCAUCGAAUCUUUGAACGCACAUUGCGCCCGCCAGUAUUCUGGCGGGCAUGCCUGUCCGAGCGUCAUUUCAACCCUCGAACCCCUCCGGGGGGUCGGCGUUGGGGAUCGGGAACCCCUAAGACGGGAUCCCGGCCCCGAAAUACAGUGGCGGUCUCGCCGCAGCCUCUCCUGCGCAGUAGUUUGCACAACUCGCACCGGGAGCGCGGCGCGUCCACGUCCGUAAAACACCCAACUUCUGAAAUGUUGACCUCGGAUCAGGUAGGAAUACCCGCUGAACUUAAGCAUAUCAAAA